RNAcentral lists this unclassified non-coding RNA (275 nucleotides) under Inocybe sp. Its description in RNAcentral is "partial contains 5.8S ribosomal RNA, internal transcribed spacer 2, and large subunit ribosomal RNA". Lineage: Eukaryota; Fungi; Basidiomycota; Agaricomycetes; Agaricales; Inocybaceae. The record is from RNAcentral. RNAcentral also lists the same sequence under 2 other names.
AACGCAUCUUGCGCCCCUUGGUAUUCCGAGGAGCAUGCCUGUUUGAGUGUCAUUUGACCUUCUCUCAACCAUAUCAGUCAAUGAUGUGGCUUGGAUGUGGGAUUGCAGGCUUCGAGUAUGAAGUCCAGCUCUCCUGAAAUGCAUUAGUGGUAUCUGUCUGAGCUGCUAUUUGGUGUGAUAACUUAUCUAUGCCUUUUGGUGAUCAGCACCGCUUAUAACCUACCAAAAUUGACAAAAUUGACCUCAAAUCAGGUAGGACUACCCGCUGAACUUAA